GUGCUUGCUUUGGCAGCACAUACGCUAAAAUUGGAACGAUACAGAGAUUAGCAUGGCCCCUGCACAAGGAUGACACGCAAAUUCAUGAAGCAUUCCAUAUUUUA
This is a small nuclear RNA of Otolemur garnettii (small-eared galago), 104 nucleotides long. NCBI's taxonomy places the organism in Eukaryota, Metazoa, Chordata, Mammalia, Primates, Galagidae. The record is from Ensembl.